CCGCACGCUGUCCGGCGGAGGAC
RNAcentral lists this ribosomal RNA (23 nucleotides) under Trichoderma asperellum. RNAcentral describes it as "partial 18S ribosomal RNA". Lineage: Eukaryota; Fungi; Ascomycota; Sordariomycetes; Hypocreales; Hypocreaceae. The record is from RNAcentral.